UUAGGCGCUACUUAGCUUAAUAGGGAAACGUGUGAAGCACUGCAGCCCCCGCUACUGUAGGCGAGUACUAAUUGUUCGUAAGCUCAGCUUAACCACUGUACAACUUGUAUGGGAAGGUGAACAAUUGGGAUGAUCCGUCAGCCAGGAGACCUACCUAAAAUA
This 162-nucleotide non-coding RNA is filed under the name uncultured Niameybacter sp. The record is from RNAcentral. Lineage: Bacteria; Bacillati; Bacillota; Clostridia; Lachnospirales; Lachnospiraceae.